GGUGAACGCUGGCGGCGUGCCUAAUACAUGCAAGUCGAGCGAACAGACGAGAGUGCUUGCACUCUCUGACGUUAGCGGCGGACGGGUGAGUAACACGUGGGUAACCUACCUAUAAGACUGGGAUAACUUCGGGAAACCGGAGCUAAUACCGGAUAAUAUUUAGCUUCGCAUGAAGCAAUAGUGAAAGACGGUUCUGCUGUCACUUAUAGAUGGACCCGCGGUGUAUUAGCUGGUUGGUGAGGUAACGGCUCACCAAGGCAACGAUACAUAGCCGACCUGAGAGGGUGAUCGGCCACACUGGGACUGAGACACGGCCCAGACUCCUACGGGAGGCAGCAGUAGGAAAUCUUCCGCAAUGGACGAAAGUCUGACGGAGCAAUGCCGCGUGAGUGAAGAAGGUUUUCGGAUCGUAAAACUCUGUUGUAAGGGAAGAACAAGUACGUUAGUAACUGAACGUACCUUGACGGUACCUUACCAGAAAGCCACGGCUAACUACGUG
This 499-nucleotide ribosomal RNA is filed under the name uncultured bacterium. RNAcentral describes it as "partial 16S ribosomal RNA". It matches the Rfam family "Bacterial small subunit ribosomal RNA", at positions 28 to 507 of the family's 1533-position model. The record is from RNAcentral.